AAUAGUUUUAUGCUACAUCAGUACUCUUAUCCUGAAUUUCAAGAUUUUAUCCUGAAAAAAAUCAAAUCCAAAUUAAAAUUCUAAAAUUCAGGAUAAAAUCUUGAAAUUCAGGAUAAGAAUACUGAUGUGGCAUAAAACUAUU
Molecule: non-coding RNA, 142 nt
Organism: Gossypium arboreum
Lineage: Eukaryota; Viridiplantae; Streptophyta; Magnoliopsida; Malvales; Malvaceae
Source: Rfam